UACAGAGACUGCAAGCGUUAUUCGGAUUCACUGGGCGUAAAGGGUGCGCAGGCGGUUGGGUGUGUCAGAUGUGAAAUCCCGAGGCUUAACCUCGGAACUGCGUCUGAAACUACUCGACUAGAGUACUGGAGAGGGAAACGGAAUUCACGGUGUAGCAGUGAAAUGCGUAGAUAUCGUGAGGAACACCAGAGGCGAAGUCGGUUUCCUGGACAGUUACUGACGCUCAGGCACGAAAGCAUGGGGAGCAAAAGGG
RNAcentral lists this ribosomal RNA (253 nucleotides) under uncultured bacterium. RNAcentral's name for it is "partial 16S ribosomal RNA". It matches the Rfam family "Bacterial small subunit ribosomal RNA", at positions 524 to 776 of the family's 1533-position model. The record is from RNAcentral.